GCACUUUAUUGUGGGACCACAUGUUAUCAUGAAUGAAAAGUUUUAUUGAGUAAUGCAAUUGCUUAAGGAAUAACACGUGAUGUGCAGUUAGCCAAUCAGAAUAAAGUAUUAUAAUGAAAUAAUUACAUUAGAUGUAUGUCUCACUACAAUACGUUAUUCUGAUUGGCUAACUACACAUCACGUGUUAUUCCUUAAGCAAUUGCAUUACUCAAUAAAACUUUUCAUUCAUGAUAACACGAGGUCCCACAAUAAAGUGCACAAGUAAAUUAAAUAACAAAUUGAUAAAAUUCGUGUUUUCAUGAUCCUAGCUCAAAAAUGUAAUUAUAAGUAUUGAAUGAUUCUUUUUGUAACUUCAUAGGGUUGUAAAAGCGUUGAACGUGCGCACAUUUUUAGAAUG
RNAcentral lists this long non-coding RNA (397 nucleotides) under Mytilus galloprovincialis (Mediterranean mussel). Lineage: Eukaryota; Metazoa; Mollusca; Bivalvia; Mytilida; Mytilidae. The record is from RNAcentral.